CGCGGGCGCGGCGAGGAGCGCGCCGGUGCUGAUGGCGCCCGCGGACUGGCCGGCGACGGUGACCCGGUCCGGGUCGCCGCCGAAGGCCGCGA
This 92-nucleotide transfer RNA is filed under the name Streptomyces tendae. RNAcentral's name for it is "tRNA-Ile". The record is from RNAcentral. Lineage: Bacteria; Bacillati; Actinomycetota; Actinomycetes; Kitasatosporales; Streptomycetaceae.